Molecule: transfer RNA, 58 nt
Filed under: Pyrilia barrabandi (Orange-cheeked parrot)
Lineage: Eukaryota; Metazoa; Chordata; Aves; Psittaciformes; Psittacidae
Description: tRNA-Glu
Source: RNAcentral
GUUUAAAUGCUGGGUUGGCUUUUUUGGCCAUAAGCCUUUGAUGAUUUUUGGGUAGAGG